AGCUUUGCAUAGCGGCAGUAUUGUAGCCAAUGAGGUUUAUCCGAGGUAUGAUUAUGGCUGAUUUAAAACUUUUCCAAUACCCUGCUGUGACAACUUGCAAUACAAUCAGCACUGGCAAUUUGUAGAGACUGUCAAAAAG
Molecule: small nuclear RNA, 139 nt
Organism: Saimiri boliviensis boliviensis (Bolivian squirrel monkey)
Lineage: Eukaryota; Metazoa; Chordata; Mammalia; Primates; Cebidae
Gene: U4
Rfam family: U4 spliceosomal RNA
About the family: U4 small nuclear RNA (U4 snRNA) is a component of the major U2-dependent spliceosome. The structure of U4 snRNA from yeast and human has been reported.
Source: Ensembl